Nothobranchius furzeri (turquoise killifish) is the source of this 1673-nucleotide long non-coding RNA. RefSeq lists it as uncharacterized. NCBI's taxonomy places the organism in Eukaryota, Metazoa, Chordata, Actinopteri, Cyprinodontiformes, Nothobranchiidae. The record is from RefSeq and is a predicted model, not a curated record.
GGGAAGAGUUGCCAUAAACAAACAUGAUUAUUGACAGAGUUCUUGGAAAUGAACAGAUACAUAGACUCCCCAGCUGUUUGACAUCUGAUAACUGUGAGAGAGGAAGAUAGUAAACUGUUAUGCUUCAGGAAUCUAAUGGUCUUUAAUUGUUAUUAACAGCAAAGCACAAAGAUUCCCAUGAGAGGGUGCUGAAUACUACAGCUGUGUGUUUCCAGAUAUGGUGGCAAAUCAGAACGUUCAACAAUCUGUUAAAAGGUCACCAUGGCAGCCUGUGUGUCUCCAACAUCAGCUACACAACGCAGCAAGUCCAUUUGGAUCAUCGGUGACAGCUGAGUGAGGCGUGGUGCCCAGAGAGCUGCAGAGACCGUCGGAGACAACCUUGGCCUCCCUGACGUCCGUGUCUCCUGGUUCGGUUGGGGCGGACUGAGGUGGAAAGACCUUCUCCCCUUCUUUUUCAACUCCAUGCAUGGAAGAGCAGCUCCUGAUGCCCUUCUCAUCCACUGUGGCGGCAAUGACAUGGGGUGGUCAGCAGUGUGAAGCUGGUCAACAUGAAGGAGGACCUGCAACGGCUUCACCUUCUACACCCUCAUGUCACACUGUUGAGAACUGUUCUUCCUUCACAACCCAAUGUUCCACUCACUCUGCAGCUCUCUGGGCCCCUUUUAUUAUUUUAAGUAUUUUUUAAAUGUCCCGACACUUUGUGUCCUGUUAUUUUAUAAAAUGUGACGUAAAAAAAUUAAUGUUUUUGCUCAAUUACUGGAAUUUCUUUGGUUAAGACAAAAAAGGAAGAAUCAUUUAUGCCAAGUUGUUUCUACAACAGGCCCGUUUUAAGUCCAACAGUUUCUUAGCAGCCAAUAGAAAUGUGUUCUUUACUAACUUUACUUGGUUUAAAAAUCUUACUAAAAUAAACAGAGUGCUGUAUUCCAAAACCAAAUCAUACUUGUUAUGUAAAUAUUAGCUUUGUAGAUACUUUUUACAGAUAUAUAUUUGUGUGCUAAAAAAAACAUCAACUUAAAUAAUUUGUCAUUCUUUAUUGAAAAACAAUAAAAUACUGGUAUACAGAAAGUGUGGGAAAAUGAUCAUGUGAAAGUAUUGCUCUUUAAAUGUAAUACUAUUCAUCUUUAAAAAGAAAAACUCUAAAAAUGUCCUGUACAGCAACAUGACAGAAGAAAGGUGGUCUGUCUGUCAGAAGGUGCUGAACAGAUUUGCUCUAUCAAGAGGAGCGUUUUGUGUAAGAGUUUAUGUUAUUGUAAUAUUGGUUUGGGUUAUGUAUCUGUGACACGAUCCAGGUGGAAUGGAAGGUGCCACUAAUAUUAAAAGGAUUAAAAUAGGUUCUAAAAAAACAAGGCAAGCAGUGCGACAGCCAAAGCAAAUUAAAAAGGUACAUUUAUUACAAAACCCUGAUGAUGAUGCCAAGGGGAAAAAAGCGUUCAAUCGAGUGUGCUCAGGGCCGCAAGAGACAAGGCGGUCCAGUCCGGCCCUGCUGAGCUCUCGACCAAGGAAUCUCCAAGGCCGGCGUCGUCGUCUGGGAACCAAAGGAUCGCCGCACGGUGGAUCCAAUCCUCCUCGGCCCGGCUCCUGUGGCACACAGCUCCGGCAGUAAAUAGGUCCCAGGCACCAGACCACUCACAGAGAGAGAGCAACUCUAACACUGCCAGGCACUGAUCAAUUAC